UAACUGAUUCCAGGGGACUCCAUUGCCCUAU
RNAcentral lists this non-coding RNA (31 nucleotides) under Rattus norvegicus (Norway rat). The record is from RNAcentral. Lineage: Eukaryota; Metazoa; Chordata; Mammalia; Rodentia; Muridae.